RNAcentral lists this ribosomal RNA (400 nucleotides) under uncultured bacterium. Its description in RNAcentral is "bacterial SSU rRNA". It matches the Rfam family "Bacterial small subunit ribosomal RNA", at positions 28 to 433 of the family's 1533-position model. The record is from RNAcentral.
GACGAACGCUGGCGGCGUGCUUAACACAUGCAAGUCGAGCGGUAAGGCCCUUUCGGGGGUACACGAGCGGCGAACGGGUGAGUAACACGUGGGUGACCUGCCCUCAGCUCUGGGAUAAGCCUGGGAAACCGGGUCUAAUACUGGAUAUGACUCCAUGACGCAUGUUGUGGGGUGAAAGCCUUGUGCGGCUGAGGAUGGGCCCGCGGCCUAUCAGCUUGUUGGUGGGGUGANGGCCUACCAAGGCGACGACGGGUAGCCGGCCUGAGAGGGCGACCGGCCACACUGGGACUGAGACACGGCCCAGACUCCUACGGGAGGCAGCAGUGGGGAAUCUUGCGCAAUGGGCGAAAGCCUGACGCAGCGACGCCGCGUGAGGGAUGACGGCCUCGGUUGUAACUAC